Molecule: long non-coding RNA, 138 nt
Organism: Melanotaenia boesemani (Boeseman's rainbowfish)
Lineage: Eukaryota; Metazoa; Chordata; Actinopteri; Atheriniformes; Melanotaeniidae
Exons: 3
Source: RefSeq, a predicted model, not a curated record
GGUCUGGAAAUAAACAUUAGGUUUAUUCUGCAUCAGUAACAGACAGAGAGGAAUGUCACCUCGUGCAGACAACAGCACAUGCUCACUCUCAUGGGAAUCUUCCGCUACUUUGAGGAUUACCCAUAAUUCCUUGCUGUC